GGAGUGGUGAGAAAGGGAAGUGCAUAAAAGAGCAUGCCACUAGUUUAAAUGGACGCGUGCUUUGAAGAAGUUGUGCGCACGGCCGUGCAGGGACAUUAAAGACGGUGAUCUCGGCAGUAACGGCAGUGCGUGAAUUUUGAGUGCUGCGGAUGCCGAUGACUCAUCGCGUGUGUGAUUACAACUUUAAUCAAUGAGCCCCACGUUGUUGACGGCGAUCUGUUGUGAAAACUAUCAAAAGCACGACGACCAAAAAUAGACAGCGCAAGGCUUUUCUGAACAACAGGAACAGGAGUCUAGAACUGAAUGAAAACAAGAAUCCACUAUAAUUGACGGCAUGCGCCGUUGGACCUUGUUUAGCCGUAUGAAGGGCCCGAGAGGCCCUUGGCCCUGUCCACGCCCAGGCGCUCUCCUUGCCCAGGUCCUCCUUACGCCCAGAACGCUCGCCCAGGAUUCGUCGCUUUUGCCCCGGGACCAAGGCCUUAAUGGAGAUCCGCGAAUAUCAGAAAAGCACCCGAGUCCUCUUGCCACAGCCGCCCUUCUUACACCUGGUGAGGCCUCACUAGCCCGAUGGCGGCCAUAGAUUGAGAUCCUUCCCCGCACGCAGUUCCCUGAGGUGUGCCAGACUGUCAGCAGAUGCGGCCGAAGCAUUGUUGGUGUUGCUGUUUUGGGACGCCAACUUGUGCGCCAUCCACGCCAAGCGGGGCAAUUUGUUUCCCAAGGACCUCUACGUGGCCCAUAGGAUUCAAUGGUCCAACGCCAUCUGACCACGACGACCGUCCGCCAUUUUUGUUUGUGUCCAAAUUUGUUUUGUAUUUUGUCAAUAAAGGGCACUAGAACGAAGAAGCGUCUCGUGGCUCGGCCUUGCCCACUUCCUCAUCGGGCGACUACUAACCUUUCUGACACACUAUCAAAAUGCAUUUUCUCCCAUGCGGGUAUGAGC
Corythoichthys intestinalis (scribbled pipefish) is the source of this 940-nucleotide long non-coding RNA. RefSeq lists it as uncharacterized. NCBI's taxonomy places the organism in Eukaryota, Metazoa, Chordata, Actinopteri, Syngnathiformes, Syngnathidae. The transcript is spliced from 6 exons. The record is from RefSeq and is a predicted model, not a curated record.